UCGGGGGCAGGCGAGAGUCGAACGCUUCGCCAGAGCCAAACCCCGAAAUCACCAUGCCAUCAUCAUCAUCACCAUCAUCAUCACCACCAUCAUCACAAUCAUCGCCGCCUCGGUCCGACAAGCAAGGAAACUGGAGUGCCCGGAGAAAACCCACGCAGGCAUGGGGAGAACAUGCAAACUCCACACAGACCCCGUCCUCCAUUUCCAUCCAGCAUUUGCUGAUCCACCCAAAUGGAGACGAAUCCUGACCGCGAGUGAAGGAUUUUAACCACGUGCGCACACCAUGAAAGCUGAAAGCAGGAGUGCCGGACCAUCCAGCGUAUACAGCACAGCAAGAGCUGCUGCCGCACAGGAAACUGUAAUUGCCCGGAGGCCGAAGGCAGCCACUUUCAAACAAGGUCGUUCAUCUUCCGCUGGAAAAGGAAAUGGUCUUCAGCCCUGAUCCUUAAUCACCCCCCCCCCUACAGCCGCAGUGUACAAGGUCAUCAGGGAAGCCUUGCGACAAACACACUUACUCACACUCAGACUGCAUCGCCCAUCAUAAACUGACAAGCCUCAAGACCUACGUUGAUUAUUACAAACAAGGAAUUUUAUGUUAGAAUGUAAAUAAAUGUAGUAGAUGGAGGUUACAGCUUUUUAGAAUUAAUUAUUGGAUUGAUUCAUCGAAAAAAAAUCUAUUUUGAGUCCAAUUUAAUGUGAAUUAUAAUUUUUUUAAUUAUUGUUAUUUGGUAUUGUUAAAUUGGUAAAUGUUUAACACAACCAAAUCAAACACAUUUAAGUAAUAUCACAUGAGAUCACAUGAUAUUUUAUUCACUAACUUUUUGAAACUGAGAGCUAGGUCUUGGGUACUUCUUGAUAUCCACUUCUGAGCAUGCUUCAGGUUCAACUACUACAG
This is a long non-coding RNA of Syngnathoides biaculeatus (alligator pipefish), 895 nucleotides long. RefSeq lists it as uncharacterized. The transcript has 4 exons. NCBI's taxonomy places the organism in Eukaryota, Metazoa, Chordata, Actinopteri, Syngnathiformes, Syngnathidae. The record is from RefSeq and is a predicted model, not a curated record.